UACGGGGGGGGCAAGCGUUGUUCGGAAUUACUGGGCGUAAAGGGCGCGUAGGCGGAAUGGCAAGUCGGUCGUGAAAUCCUUCGGCUCAACCGAAGAACGUCGAUCGAAACUGCCGUUCUUGAGGAUUGCAGAGGAGACUGGAAUUCCCGGUGUAGCGGUGAAAUGUGUAGAGAUCGGGAGGAACACCGGUGGCGAAGGCGGGUCUCUGGGCAACUACUGACGCUGAGGAGCGAAAGCGUGGGGAGCGAACAGG
This 253-nucleotide ribosomal RNA is filed under the name uncultured bacterium. Its description in RNAcentral is "partial 16S ribosomal RNA". It matches the Rfam family "Bacterial small subunit ribosomal RNA", at positions 524 to 776 of the family's 1533-position model. The record is from RNAcentral.